Molecule: ribosomal RNA, 984 nt
Filed under: Salmonella enterica
Lineage: Bacteria; Pseudomonadati; Pseudomonadota; Gammaproteobacteria; Enterobacterales; Enterobacteriaceae
Also listed under: 1 other name
Description: partial 23S ribosomal RNA
Rfam family: Bacterial large subunit ribosomal RNA
Source: RNAcentral
UGCUGGAGGUAUCAGAAGUGCGAAUGCUGACAUAAGUAACGAUAAAGCGGGUGAAAAGCCCGCUCGCCGGAAGACCAAGGGUUCCUGUCCAACGUUAAUCGGGGCAGGGUGAGUCGACCCCUAAGGCGAGGCCGAAAGGCGUAGUCGAUGGGAAACGGGUUAAUAUUCCCGUACUUGGUGUUACUGCGAAGGGGGGACGGAGAAGGCUAUGUUGGCCGGGCGACGGUUGUCCCGGUUUAAGCGUGUAGGUGUGUGUUCCAGGUAAAUCCGGUUCACUUUAACACUGAGGCGUGACGACGAGGCACUACGGUGCUGAAGCAACAAAUGCCCUGCUUCCAGGAAAAGCCUCUAAGCAUCAGGUAACAUCAAAUCGUACCCCAAACCGACACAGGUGGUCAGGUAGAGAAUACCAAGGCGCUUGAGAGAACUCGGGUGAAGGAACUAGGCAAAAUGGUGCCGUAACUUCGGGAGAAGGCACGCUGACAUGUAGGUGAAGUGAUUUACUCAUGGAGCUGAAGUCAGUCGAAGAUACCAGCUGGCUGCAACUGUUUAUUAAAAACACAGCACUGUGCAAACACGAAAGUGGACGUAUACGGUGUGACGCCUGCCCGGUGCCGGAAGGUUAAUUGAUGGGGUCAGCGCAAGCGAAGCUCCUGAUCGAAGCCCCGGUAAACGGCGGCCGUAACUAUAACGGUCCUAAGGUAGCGAAAUUCCUUGUCGGGUAAGUUCCGACCUGCACGAAUGGCGUAAUGAUGGCCAGGCUGUCUCCACCCGAGACUCAGUGAAAUUGAACUCGCUGUGAAGAUGCAGUGUACCCGCGGCAAGACGGAAAGACCCCGUGAACCUUUACUAUAGCUUGACACUGAACAUUGAGCCUUGAUGUGUAGGAUAGGUGGGAGGCUUUGAAGUGUGGACGCCAGUCUGCAUGGAGCCGACCUUGAAAUACCACCCUUUAAUGUUUGAUGUUCUAACGUGGACCCGUUA